This 1215-nucleotide ribosomal RNA is filed under the name Triticum aestivum (bread wheat). RNAcentral describes it as "partial small subunit ribosomal RNA". The record is from RNAcentral. Lineage: Eukaryota; Viridiplantae; Streptophyta; Magnoliopsida; Poales; Poaceae.
AUGAACACGACGCGUGGCCACCGCAAUGGCGGCAGCUCCUUUCUCCUCGUCAUCAUGCUCGUCGCUGCGGCGGCCGACAUCGCGGCCGCGCAGCAGACCGGCCAGGGCCCAAGCUACUUCAACCCCCAGAACUUCAACCCGUCCAUGGCGGUCAUAAUCGUCGUGCUCGUCACCGCCUUCUUCUUCCUCGGGUUCUUCUCGAUCUACAUCCGGCGCUGCGCGGGCGGGCCGCUCGGCGGGCCCGGCGAGGACCUCAGCGUGCCCGGCGCCAGGCCGGGCGGCCUCACGUUCCUCACCGCCGCGCGGUCGAGGAGGAUGAGAGGGCUGGACCCCGCCGCGCUCGAGGCCCUCCCUACCAUGGCGUACGCCGACGUCAAGGAGCACAAGGUCGGCAAGGGCGAGCUGGAGUGCGCCGUGUGCCUCAGCGAGUUCGACGACGAUGACACGCUCCGACUCCUGCCCAAGUGCUCGCACGCGUUCCACGCGGACUGCAUCGACGCCUGGCUCGCGUCGCACGUCACCUGCCCGGUCUGCCGCGCGAACCUUGUCCCCGGCGCCGAUGCUCCGGCGGCGUCCGGUGCCGCUGCGUCGGCGAUGCCGGAGCCGGAUAUACUAGCCGCGACGUCGGUGCCGCAGCCGGCGCAGGAAACGACCACGGCGCCGCCAGAGCAAGUGACGGUAGUGAUCACCGAUGCUGCCGAGGAGACGGAGGAGGAGAGGGUCAGGAGGGAGGAGGCGGCCGAGCUGGUGCGCAUCGGCAGCGUGAAGCGCGCGCUGCGCAGCAAGUCCGGCCGGAGUCCCGCCGCGCAGUUCCCGCGCUCGCACACCACGGGGCACUCGCUCGCGGCAGCGCCGGCCGAGAGCGCGGAGCGGUACACGCUGAGGCUGCCGGAGCACGUCCUCCGGGAGGUCGUCGCGGCGGGCAAGCUGCGGCGCACGAAGAGCCUGCAAGCGUUUCGGGAAGACCGCGCCGGCGGGAGCACGCGCCGGGGCAGCAGGAGCGUCCGGCUCGGGCAGUCCGGCCGGUGGCCCGCCAUCACCAUGUCAUCGUUCUUGGGACUCUCGUUCUCGGCGUGGGGGUCGUCGCGGCGUGGCGAAGCCGACGCCGCCGGCAAAGGCGGCGCGAGGGGCGCCGGCGACGGCACAGCGGGCGCGGAACAGCAGCAGUGCGACGGCGGGGCGUGCCCACUUCCACUUGGCGGCCGCCGUGUUUGA